UACAGAGGUCUCAAGCGUUGUUCGGAUUCAUUGGGCGUAAAGGGCUCGUAGGCGGUUUGUCGCGUCGGGAGUGAAAUCCACUGGCUUAACUGGUGGCUUGCUUUCGAUACGGGCAGACUGGAGGUAUGCAGGGGAGAACGGAAUUCCUGGUGUAGCGGUGAAAUGCGCAGAUAUCAGGAGGAACACCGGUGGCGAAGGCGGUUCUCUGGGCAUGUCCUGACGCUGAGGAGCGAAAGUGUGGGGAGCGAACAGG
This 253-nucleotide ribosomal RNA is filed under the name uncultured bacterium. Its description in RNAcentral is "partial 16S ribosomal RNA". It matches the Rfam family "Bacterial small subunit ribosomal RNA", at positions 524 to 776 of the family's 1533-position model. The record is from RNAcentral.